AAAGCUGGCGCCUUCGGCGUCCGCAUUGUAAUCUCAAGAAGUGUUUUCCGCUUCGGACCAAGCCUAAGUCCCUUGGAAAAGGGCAUCAUAGAGGGUGAUAAUCCCGUACAUGGCUUGGAGCGCCCGAGGCUUUGUGAUACACUUUCUAAGAGUCGAGUUGUUUGGGAAUGCAGCUCAAAAUGGGUGGUAAAUGCCAUCUAAGGCUAAAUAUUGGGGAGAGACCGAUAGCGAACAAGUACAGUGAUGGAAAGAUGAAAAGAACUUUGAAAAGAGAGUUAAACAGUACGUGAAAUUGCCAAAAGGGAAGGGUAGGAGGUCAGAGAUGCGGCCUGGGAUUCAGCCUUGCUUUUGCUUGGUGUUUUUCCCAGAUUGCAGGCCAACGUCGGUUUUGGGCACUGGAGAAGGGUAGGAGGAACGUGGCACCCCUCGGGGUGUGUUAUAGCCUCCUACUGGAUACAGCGACCGAGACCGAGGACAGCAGCGUACUCGCAAGAGCGGGCCUUCGGGCACCUUUACGCUUAGGGCGUUGGCAUAAUGGCCCUCUACCACCCGUCUU
This 556-nucleotide ribosomal RNA is filed under the name Moesziomyces aphidis. Its description in RNAcentral is "eukaryotic LSU rRNA". It matches the Rfam family "Eukaryotic large subunit ribosomal RNA", at positions 118 to 655 of the family's 3401-position model. The record is from RNAcentral. Lineage: Eukaryota; Fungi; Basidiomycota; Ustilaginomycetes; Ustilaginales; Ustilaginaceae.